AUCCUAUCAGGAGUAUCUAGAAUUAAGACACUGAGUGGGAAGAGAGAUACAAAUAUGUCCAUAGAAAUAUGGAAGGUUUUAAGCCAGAAAAUCCUUAAAUGAAGGUCUGUAGCAGUAUCUCUCCAGAUAUUUAAAAAUACAAUGAUCACCAAAAUAUGCUAUAAAUGUUUAAAAUGGACUCCUAUCGAAAGUUCAGAGGUUAAAGAUGAUGUUGUUUAUGGUACUCCUAGAAAUUGAUUCUUCUUUAUUUUUUCUUUUCGUUGAGUUUAAUUGCCACUAGAAUUAUUUUCAAGUUAAGAAGAUAAGAGGAUUGACUUUUUAAACUUCAAAAUGAACUUCCCUGCUGUGACUGACUAUAUUCCCCAGUAUGGAGAAUUAUGAGGAACCUGUUGAACAGAAAAGUCUCUGACCAUAAUCAAGGUCACACAGUCAGAAGGCAUCCCAGCAGACACUCCACACUAGCCAAUGUGGAUUCAGAGACUGCACCCUUGAUUACUGUGUUGUUUGAUGAUACUAGUGAUUUCCACGGGGGGCAGAGAUGAUUUUCCUGGCUCUGGGCCUCAUGGUUUCACACUACCUUUGUAAUUUCUCUUGGAGCCUUUCAUUACAGAACUAAAGUUGCCUCUGCUCAGCUGUAUUCUUCUUUGAGUUACGUUGCCUCACGUGGAUAUAUAAGAUAAAGCAUCCAGCCAAGUGAGGGAAUAAUGCAUACUGACUACUCAGGAAGUAGCACUGCAGAUGCCACACUCUUGAAUCAGCCCAUAUUUUAACUGUAAGUAGCACACUGAAAAUCAGCAGUAAGAGAAUGAAGAAACUGGAGUCAAGACAGGGUCCAGUAGAGAGAGAGAAAAAAAACCCACUGUUUUGGAUUGUUCUUUCACAUCCUAAGCAAUCAUGAAUGUUACAGAACUAGAAUCUGGACUUCUUUUAGCUACAUGCUCAAGAUUAAAAGCAAAUGACAGGGAGAAUGCAAGAAGGGAUUGCUGGGAAGAAGGCCAGAGGAAAUUGGAGUGAGAAAUUCAAAAUGUAUGCAAGAGUUUGUCUAAGGAGAAUCAAAACUACUAUGUUUAGAAAAGGUUGAAAUUUCAUUAUUUUGCAAGAGUUACAUCAACAACUGCAAAAGCUUCAGGAAUUCCAGCCCUUUGGAUUGAAACUCUUGCCUGGAGCAUUAAGAACUUGGGGGAGAAAUCACUACUCACUGCUUUGCUCGCAAUUCUCAUUUGGACUAGCGCUUGCAGAAACUGAGCUGAACUUUCCGCACUGUUAUUGCAUCUGUAAGGUAAUUGCCUAAACUUGUUGAGCCAAUCGGAAUUGCUGUUGUUGACUUUUGCAAAUGUGAAGAAUCCGAUGAAGCAAUUUGUAAGCCAUAUGUGGUACAUCCCUCUUUCCCCACUCAAAGUCAUAUUGCUCUCUAUAGGAUUUUGUGUGAUCCUUAUGAAACAUCACACUCCAGAAUUCUAUUUUAAAAGCUUCAAACAUUAGUGUUUAAAAAGUCAUUCAUAUUUAUGGGA
This 1511-nucleotide long non-coding RNA is filed under the name Homo sapiens (human). Its description in RNAcentral is "novel transcript". Lineage: Eukaryota; Metazoa; Chordata; Mammalia; Primates; Hominidae. The record is from RNAcentral.